Molecule: ribosomal RNA, 480 nt
Filed under: uncultured bacterium
Lineage: Bacteria
Description: partial 16S ribosomal RNA
Rfam family: Bacterial small subunit ribosomal RNA
Source: RNAcentral
GACGAACGCUGGCGGCGUGCUUAACACAUGCAAGUCGAACGAGGUCCAUGGUGCUUGCACCGGAAGACCUAGUGGCGAACGGGUGAGGAACACGUGAGAAACCUGCCCCGGACUCUGGGAUAACAGUUGGAAACGACUGCUAAUACCGGAUGCCGUCGGAGAUCCGCAUGGAUCACUGACGAAAGAAUCUCGGUUCGGGAGGGUCUCGCGGCCUAUCAGCUUGUUGGCGGGGUAACGGCCCACCAAGGCAUCGACGGGUAGCUGGUCUGAGAGGAUGAACAGCCACACUGGGACUGAGACACGGCCCAGACUCCUACGGGAGGCAGCAGUGGGGAAUCUUGCGCAAUGGGCGAAAGCCUGACGCAGCAACGCCGCGUGCGGGAAGAAGGCCUUCGGGUUGUAAACCGCUUUCAGCAGGAACGAAAAUGACGGUACCUGCAGAAGAAGGUGCGGCCAACUACGUGCCAGCCGCCGCCGUAA